RNAcentral lists this long non-coding RNA (322 nucleotides) under Homo sapiens (human). RNAcentral's name for it is "HSALNT0409280". Lineage: Eukaryota; Metazoa; Chordata; Mammalia; Primates; Hominidae. The record is from RNAcentral.
GAAUGAUAUCUCACACUGCCCCUUUGCCUGGAGUGCAGAGUGCAAUCUUGGCACCCUGCAACCACCUGACUCACAGCUUCAAGUGAUUUAUCUUCCUCAGCCCCUUGAUUAGCUGAGAUUACUGGCGGACACAACCACAGCUGAUGGGGUUUCCCCAUAUUCUACAGACUCUUCUCUAACUCCUGACCUCAAGUAAUUUGCCUACCUUAUUCUCAGAACAUGCUGGGACUACAGAUGUGAACCACCGUGCCUGGCACUUGAUUGAAUUUAUAAUUGAGAAAAACAUACAUCUUGCAAAAAUUUAUUUUUAUAUCAUAUUUUU